RNAcentral lists this transfer RNA (72 nucleotides) under Actinomycetes bacterium. RNAcentral's name for it is "Actinobacteria bacterium tRNA-Arg". It matches the Rfam family "tRNA". Rfam says of the family: Transfer RNA (tRNA) molecules are approximately 80 nucleotides in length. RNAcentral also lists the same sequence under 2 other names. Lineage: Bacteria; Bacillati; Actinomycetota; Actinomycetes. The record is from RNAcentral.
GCCCCCGUAGCUCAGUGGAUAGAGCAGUGGUUUCCUAAACCACGUGCGCAUGUUCGAUUCAUGCCGGGGGCA